This 405-nucleotide ribosomal RNA is filed under the name uncultured bacterium. Its description in RNAcentral is "partial 16S ribosomal RNA". It matches the Rfam family "Bacterial small subunit ribosomal RNA", at positions 30 to 526 of the family's 1533-position model. The record is from RNAcentral.
AUUGAACGCUAGCGGGAUGCUUUACACAUGCAAGUCGAACGAGUGGCGGACGGGUGAGUAAUAUAUCGGAACGUGCCCAGUAGCGGGGGAUAACUACUCGAAAGAGUGGCUAAUACCGCAUACUAUUGGAGCGGCCGAUAUCGGAUUAGCUAGUUGGUGGGGUAAAGGCUCACCAAGGCGACGAUCCGUAGCUGGUUUGAGAGGACGACCAGCCACAAUUGGAACGAGACAACGCCCAGACUCCUUCGGGAGGGCGCAGUGGGGAAUUUUGGAACAAGGGGGGAAGCCUUAUUCAGCCAUCCCGCGGGGAAGAGAAGGCCUUUGGGGUGGAAAGGACUUUUGGGCGGGAAAACGUAACCGGAGAAAAAGCACCGGCUAACUACGUGCCAGCAGCCGCGGUAAUUC